AUGUUCAUGGGUGCUGCUGCUAUUUCUGGAGUGCUGCUGCUGCUGCUUCAAACUUUUGGAGUAAACUGCUGCUGCUUCUUCAAACUGUUGGAGUAUAUUGGGUCAUCUAGAUUAACAAACCUCCCUGCAAAUAAAUUUAGCCAUGCCUGCUCCCAUUCGCCUAGUGAUUUCUUCAAUAGCCUUUUGGUAUCUAAAAACAAAAGAAAGAUGAUUAUAUUCUGCAAGUUUCAAAAGAACUUGAUGGACAAACCGUGUCUGAUGGAAAAACAAAUGCGGAAAAGAGGGAGUAGAUGUUCAAUGUGGUUACUUCACGAGUUUGUUAUGUUUUAUUGA
RNAcentral lists this ribosomal RNA (333 nucleotides) under Triticum aestivum (bread wheat). RNAcentral's name for it is "partial small subunit ribosomal RNA". The record is from RNAcentral. Lineage: Eukaryota; Viridiplantae; Streptophyta; Magnoliopsida; Poales; Poaceae.